CCUACGGGAGGCAGCAGUAGGGAAUAUUGCUCAAUGGGGGAAACCCUGAAGCAGCAACGCAGCGUGGAGGAUGAAGGUUUUAGGAUUGUAAACUCCCUUUGUUAGAGAAGAUAAUGACGGUAUGUAACGAAUAAGCAAUGGCUAACUCCGUGCCAGCAGCCGCGGUAAUACGGAGGGUGCAAGCGUUACUCGGAAUCACUGGGCGUAAAGAGCGCGUAGGCGGGAUAGAAAGUCAGAUGUGAAAUCCUAUGGCUUAACCAUAGAACUGCAUUUGAAACUGUUAUUCUAGAGUAUGGUAGAGGUAGGUGGAAUUCGUGGUGUAGGGGUAAAAUCCGUAGAGAUCAAGAGGAAUACACAUUGCGAAGGCGACCUGCUAGAACAUAACUGACACUGAUGCUCGAAAGCGUGGGUAGCAAACAGGAUUAGAUACCCUUGUAGUC
RNAcentral lists this ribosomal RNA (440 nucleotides) under uncultured bacterium. Its description in RNAcentral is "partial 16S ribosomal RNA". It matches the Rfam family "Bacterial small subunit ribosomal RNA", at positions 338 to 795 of the family's 1533-position model. The record is from RNAcentral.